This 74-nucleotide transfer RNA is filed under the name Marasmius oreades (fairy-ring Marasmius). It matches the Rfam family "tRNA". Rfam says of the family: Transfer RNA (tRNA) molecules are approximately 80 nucleotides in length. Their secondary structure includes four short double-helical elements and three loops (D, anti-codon, and T loops). Further hydrogen bonds mediate the characteristic L-shaped molecular structure. tRNAs have two regions of fundamental functional importance: the anti-codon, which is responsible for specific mRNA codon recognition, and the 3' end, to which the tRNAs corresponding amino acid is attached (by aminoacyl-tRNA synthetases). tRNAs cope with the degeneracy of the genetic code in two manners: having more than one tRNA (with a specific anti-codon) for a particular amino acid; and 'wobble' base-pairing, i.e. permitting non-standard base-pairing at the 3rd anti-codon position. The record is from Rfam by way of RNAcentral. Lineage: Eukaryota; Fungi; Basidiomycota; Agaricomycetes; Agaricales; Marasmiaceae.
GGCACUAUAGCUCAGUGGUUGAGAGCACCUUAGAACCAAUGAGGAGGUCUGGGGUUCAAAUCCCCAUAGAGCCA